RNAcentral lists this ribosomal RNA (774 nucleotides) under uncultured Neocallimastigales. Its description in RNAcentral is "partial large subunit ribosomal RNA". It matches the Rfam family "Eukaryotic large subunit ribosomal RNA", at positions 22 to 621 of the family's 3401-position model. The record is from RNAcentral. Lineage: Eukaryota; Fungi; Neocallimastigomycota; Neocallimastigomycetes; Neocallimastigales.
UAUCAGUCAUGCAUAGCAUAUCAAUAAGCGGAGGAAAAGAAACUAACAAGGAUUCCCUUAGUAACGGCGAGUGGAGCGGGAAGAGCUCAAAUUUGAAAUCUUCAAGGUUUUACCUUGACGAAUUGUAGUUUAAAGAAGGUGUUUUCUGUUGAAGUUUUGGUAAAAGUUCUUUGGAAUAGGACAUCAUAGAGGGUGAGAAUCCCGUAUUUGACCAUUACUUUCAGCUUUGUGAUACACUUUCAAAGAGUCGGAUUGUUUGGGAAUGCAGUCCAAAAUGGGUGGUAAAUUUCAUCUAAAGCUAAAUAUUGGCGAGAGACCGAUAGCGAACAAGUACCGUGAGGGAAAGAUGAAAAGAACUUUGAAAAGAGAGUUAAACAGUACGUGAAAUUGUCAAAAGGGAAGCGUUUGACACCAGUGUUGUUUUCUCGAAAAUCAAUUAAAAAGAGUUGGAUUUUGUGUUGUAUUGACUUUAUCAGCUUUCUUCACUCUUUUCCAGCUUUUUUUAAUGCACUUUUCGUUUAACAAGUCAACAUCAGUUUCUUUUGUUGUAAAAAGGUCAUUGGAAGGUGGCUUUCUCUUCGGAGAAAGUGUUUAUAGCCUUUGACUCAUGCAAUCGGAGAGACUGAGGUCUGCAGCGUAGAUCCUUCGGGGUUAGAUACAUUUGUGCUAAGUUAUAGCUUUUCAUAGACAACUUGUUGACUAUGUUUAGUCUUGUAGCUUACUCGCUUAUGCUAUUUUACCUACGCUUAGGAUGUUGAACUCUAUCACACACAG